Long non-coding RNA from Engraulis encrasicolus (European anchovy), 798 nucleotides. RefSeq lists it as uncharacterized. NCBI's taxonomy places the organism in Eukaryota, Metazoa, Chordata, Actinopteri, Clupeiformes, Engraulidae. The record is from RefSeq and is a predicted model, not a curated record. The transcript is spliced from 2 exons.
CUCUCUACUCUCUCUGCUAUGAGAGAGCUCAAGAUGUUUACUUGCUGCCUUGCUGCUCCUGCUGAGGACCAUGCUGGACCAACCAGGAAACAGCUGAAGGAUCGGAACAAAUGGAUGCUCUCUAAUAAAGAUCUGAAAUACCUAGAUGAGCUUGAGAAGAAAUACCAAGCCGACGAAGAGAGGAUGAGGCUCCUGAAGGGCCUCUUGAAGAGGAGAGAAGCUCUGAGAGAGAGGGCUGAGAGAGAGAGGCAUUGAGGGCCAAGGAAGGGGAUGAACGCCUUGACAGCCAAAGAAUAUGAUGUGACCCUUCCGUUGAAAGUAUAAGAAGUGUCCUUCCCUUCCCAUUCCUGCCCUCCCUCAAGACUCACAGGCUGCAGCAGCUGAGGAGACAGUGGUGCCCUGAGAGGGGAGCAGGACAGCCAAUACAGAGUUGUGUAAAGUAGGAGUGAAAUUAGGCUACUCCUAAAGAUGUCAUAACAACACUAGUGGUAUGAUGUGACAUGGCUUAAAUUUUGGAAUAUCAUGCUACUAGUGUUGUAAUUACAUCUGUCACGUUAUACAACUCUGAGCCAAUGCUCCUCAACCAGAUCCGCGGAAGGACUGUCCAAAACAAGAACAUUGAUACAGAAUAACAUACAAGAUAUAUACGGUGUAAAAUACAUAUUGUAUAGUUACACACAUUAUACAGUAUACAUUCACAGUAUUCAUCUGUACAGUUAUAUACAUUAAGAAAUGCAAGAAUUAUAAUAUUUUAGUAAUGUUUAAUAUUAUUUCAUAUUAAACUCUUUAAAAUUCUGA